CCUGGUGGUCAGAGAGAGGAUGAAACACCCGAUCCCAUUCCGAACUCGGCCGUGAAAAGCCUCAUCGCCAAUGGUACUGUGUCUUAAGACCCGGGAGAGUAGGACGCUGCCAGGU
This 115-nucleotide ribosomal RNA is filed under the name Alphaproteobacteria bacterium. Lineage: Bacteria; Pseudomonadati; Pseudomonadota; Alphaproteobacteria. The record is from RNAcentral.